UUAUGCAAGACAGGUGUGAAAUCCCCGGGCUCAACCUGGGAACUGCACUUGUGACUGCAUGACUAGAGUGCGUCAGAGGGAGGUGGAAUUCCGCGUGUAGCAGUGAAAUGCGUAGAGAUGCGGAGGAACACCGAUGGCGAAGGCAGCCUCCUGGGAUGACACUGACGCUCAGGCACGAAAGCGUGGGGAGCAAACAGGAAUAGAUACCCUGGUAGUCCACGCCCUAAACGAUGUCAACUACUUUGUCGGGGAUUCAUUUCCUUGGUAACGCAGCUAACGCGUGAAGUUGACCGCCUGGGGAGUACGGCCGCAAGGUUAAAACUCAAAGGAAUUGACGGGGACCCGCACAAGCGGCGGAUGAUGUGGAUUAAUUCGAUGCAACGCGAAAAACCUUACCUACGCUUGACAUGCCAGGAACUUUCCAGAGAUGGAUUGGUGCCCGAAAGGGAACCUGGACACAGGUGCUGCAUGGCUGUCGCCACCCUCGUGUCGUGAGAUGUUGGGUUAAGUCCCGCAACGAGCGCAACCCUUUUCCUUAGUUGCUACGCAAGGGCACUCUAGGGAUACUGCCGGUGACAAACCGGAGGAAGGUGGGGAUGACGUCAAGUCCUCAUGGCCCUUAUGUGUAGGGCUUCACACGUCAUACAAUGGUCGGUACAGAGGGUCGCCAACCCGCGAGGGGGAGCCAAUCCCAGAAAACCGAUCGUAGUCCGGAUUGCACUCUGCAACU
Molecule: ribosomal RNA, 730 nt
Filed under: uncultured bacterium
Lineage: Bacteria
Description: bacterial SSU rRNA
Rfam family: Bacterial small subunit ribosomal RNA
Source: RNAcentral